GUUUAGAUUAGGUUGGAAGUCACCUGGGCUGAGCUGAUGGCUGAUUCCGUCAGCAAAAAGAACUGUGGAACAUACUGGCACUUGGGCCGGUGUGAAGCCACCCCCCUGCCAUGAAAAAUGGCUCUUCCCUGCCACAGCCGGCCCAGCGGGAGCCAGGUCAGGGCCUGGAGACACAGCGCCCCCCACCGGAGCCACUGCCCGGCCCAGCAGCACCUGCGGAGAAUCCCACCAGCUCCCACGCCUCCCGCCGCGCCACCGCCCCGGCUUUCUGCAAAUCCACCUUAUGGAAGCCGGAUAAGCACCUCCUCCUCUGAUGCGUCACAGUCACAGGUCCUGGUGAGGAGGGAGCCACGCCAAGCACAGCGGCUGGAACAGGGGCAAGUGGGUGCCCACCCCGAAGUGCAGGCAAUGAACUUGUGCUGUAGCCCAUGGUGAGCUGUGGGGCUGUUUGUGACUGCAGCGUAGCCAAGCCCAUCCCGCCUGAUGCGGCCUCUUCAUCCAGAGUGGGGGUGACGUGCCAGCCCCCACCUCACCGGAAUGCUGGGAGGAGCGUCUCCACGGAAGGAGCUCACUUUGUCAGCUGUAAUGUGCUGUGACUAUCGUAAAGUUCCUUCCGGGUGCAGAGUGAUACAUGAACCCUGGGGACUCACUCCAACUUGGUAUUGAUUUUCUCCACGGAGGACCCAGCAGUCACGGCCCGUGUCUGCACAGCCCCUUGGAUCCUGCGGAGGAAUUCAGCCGGCCCCUCCCCCUGUGCCGAAAACCACGGAGGCAAAGCCAGGCCAGGGUACAGUGAGAACACGGGAGAGGACUGAGAGACCGCUGGCUGCCGAGGGAGGAAGAGCAGGAUUCGCACCCCCGUCAUCGCUGGGCCCACACGCCGCCGACAGCUUCCGCGUGUGGCCAUCUGUCUUUCAGAAACCCUCUGGCAGAGGGACCCAGCAGAUGACACGGGGGCCGUUCACACUCUGAAACCUGCCUGGAGUCAAAACACUGCUGGCGAGCCUCCACCGCAAACCCAAUCCAGAUGGUCUUCCCUGGUGGCCCUCGGGGUGGCGGGCACCCUGCCCACUCCCUGCCAGCCCCUGCCCGCUGGACUCCAGGCCCGGCCGAGCCCCCGACCGGUCUCCUGACCCAGCAUGCUGCUCUCCCCUGGGCCCGGCUUUCUCGCCCGCUGGGACUCCCAGGCCCCUCCAGCCCAGCCCCGAGAGCAGGAGCCCCAAGGGAGGCUUGGCGGCUGUGGAGGCGAGUGGGCCACGUGUAGCUGGGAGGCCGGCAGGACCAGGAGCCCCUCACAGCGCAGCACCCACAGCAUCACGAGCCACUUCCACUCCUGGGUGGCCUGGGGGCCCCCACCCUGCUCUGAGCUGCCCCUUGUUGUGACCUGGGGUCCCCCGUGGUGGGCCCGCCCCUUGAGCCUGGGAUCCAGCCUCAGCGAGGCUCCAGAAGUGUCGUCUCCGCCGGCCAGGCGUCAGCGCCUCCACCCAGGAUCACACACUCCUAUCUCUGCACUUCUGCCCUCCAUCCUGCUCCACGCCGCCUCUGCUUGUUAUUCCAGCACAUUCCAGGGUGAUGCCUGCUGAAGCCACGCAGCCAGUGCCUCCACCCUACCCCCCAUCUGACCCACCGGCCCCUUCCGCACGCUGGAAGCCUGCCCGGCCUGAAGUGUCCUCACCUGUCGCCCUAUCCUCCCCUCCACUCCAGCCCACCGGUGACUCAGCCCUCACAGCUCUCUCCUCCCCGAGGGAGCCGGUGACUUGGCUCUGAUGGUGCCGGGACCCAGCCCCGGCAUGUUCAGAAUCCUUGUCCUUUAACCUGCGUCCACAUGUAGUCGCCUCCACCUCCCUGCCUGAACCUCCAGGCCCUGCAGAGCAAACACUGCUGCCUGCAGGAGACCCCUGGGGCCUUCUCCGUCCCCUCAUCCUCCUAAGGAGCCUCCCCUGCCACCGUGCCAGAAUGUGCCGGAGGAACAGAGGCCCGAGCCUCCCGUGGCCCCAGCGAGGCUUCCUCUGGGGAAGACAGUGAGCCCAACGCCCUGGCUCUCGAGGGGUGGACGGAGUCCAGCUGGCAUCGACCGGGUGCCCCUCUUCACCGGUGUCCACAGUCCUUGAGAGCAAAGGUGGUCCCAGCAGUGGAGCAGAGGGCAAGGGUGGGGCAUGUAGAGUCUCCAGGGAGCCACUGUUGGUUAGAGAGGGAGCCCGAAGUGGGCUCCGGACCCCAGCAGGGACAGCGUCCCCUUCCAGCGGGGGCAGCCGAUUGAUCUGGGCACACGAGCAGGAGGAGCGGCGCCACCCAGGGCUGACCUCACGGCCCUGCUCACGUCUCGGGGCAUUUUGGCAGACCCACCUAGACCUGGGGGACAGCCUGAUUUCCUGCAGCCAUGACCUACAAGGGUGGCAGCUCUCUCAGGCUUGAGUAACCAGGACACAGACCUGGGCCAUUUAAUGCGCAGGCAGCCCCAAGUCCCGGCAGGGCCAGAAGCAGAGACGGCGGCUGGGGAUGAAAGUGCACGCUGGUCCCAGAUGGGGCUGGGGGUGAAAGCUGCAUGCUGAUCCCUGGGCCCCCUCACUCUAUGAGCUCCUGAAAGGAGGGAAGCCCCCACACCCUACUGAGUGGAGUGCUCCUUGGCCUGGGACCCCGUCCAGUGUCUGCUGCUGUGGGGGCGGGCUCUGGGCAGAGAGAGGCCAGACAGGCACCCAGGAAAGCUGGAACACAUCCCUCCUGCUUCCCCCAGGGUUCCCAGAGGCGACCUCCCUCCUGCACAGGCAUUUGUCAUCCUUACCCUCUAGGACAGCUUUGCCAUGUGCAGUGAACCCCUGGACAGUGUUGCGUGCCACUUUGCCGGAUUUGGACUGUAUACAGACCGAAGCAUGUGGCAUGAAGCCUUCUGCUGUCAGCAAGUUCCUUGUCCCUCGACAGUAUGUGCCCAGGCUGCCCUUCAAGGUGGCAGUGAUGGCAGUUGUCUCUUGCACGCUGCGUACAGUUCUGUCACUGACUCUUACACACAGCCCUGGAGACGGGAGAGUGCCGGGAGCAUUCUAUGCAAGUGUCCUGGCCUUUGCGGGCGUCUCCACAGCACAAACACGAGUCAGGGACCACCCCUCUUCUGCUUCCAUGAUUCCACCAACUGGGUGGGGCAGAGCAGUGCCAGGGCCGGAGGCACGCCCCAGGUGAGGGCAGGUGGCCAUGCCAGUGAGUGCACUGCGUUCUCAGUUAAUUCAUCCGAAAUAUUUCUAAGUUUCUUGAUUAUUGCAGUUGCAUCCCCAAGAUAAUGCCGCCCUCACCAAGUAGAAGGCACAUGUGCUCUGAUGGCCCCUCCCACACUGGGGUCAGGGCACAGCAACUUAGCGAGGCGACGUGGGGGCUCAGAGGACCUCGGACCAGGCUCGGCACAUGGGGCUUCUCCAGCCAGCCAGGGGGAAGCACCCUGCAGACUGCUAACUUUUGCAAAAUAGAGUAAAAAAGAUCAGCUAGAAAAAUAAAACAAAAAAGGAAAGAUAUACAAAA
Homo sapiens (human) is the source of this 3507-nucleotide long non-coding RNA. Ensembl annotates it as long intergenic non-protein coding RNA 319. The record is from Ensembl. NCBI's taxonomy places the organism in Eukaryota, Metazoa, Chordata, Mammalia, Primates, Hominidae.